This 440-nucleotide ribosomal RNA is filed under the name uncultured bacterium. RNAcentral's name for it is "partial 16S ribosomal RNA". It matches the Rfam family "Bacterial small subunit ribosomal RNA", at positions 338 to 795 of the family's 1533-position model. The record is from RNAcentral.
CCUACGGGAGGCAGCAGUGGGGAAUAUUGCACAAUGGGCGAAACCCUGAUGCAGCGACGCCGCGUGAGUGAAGAAGUAUUUCGGUAUGGAAAGCUCUAUCAGCAGGAACGAAACAAGACGGUACCUGUCUCAGACGCCCCUGCUAACUACGUGCCAGCAGCCGCGGUAAUACGUAGGGGGCAAGCGUUAGCCGGAUUUAUGGGGUGUAAAGGGUGCGCAGGCGGCGUGUCAAGUCAGCGGUAAAAUGUCGGGGCUCAACGCCGGCAGGCCGUUGAAACUGGCGUGCUCGAGUUGGAGAGAAGUAGGCGGAAUUCGUGGUGUAGCGGUGAAAUGCAUAGAUAUCACGAAGAACCCCGAUUGCGAAGGCAGCAUACCGGCUCCAAACUGACGCUGAGGCACGAAAGCGUGGGUAUCGAACAGGAUUAGAUACCCUGGUAGUC